UCAAUCUCUUACUGCUUCCCUUCUCUUUCACUUACCCUUUUUCUCUCAUGGCUGAGGAAAAAUUCUUGUUUGAAACACCCAGGAUGAAGAAAUUGAACUCAAAAGUGUAACUGGGUCGUACUGUUCAUUAGGGCCAAAACAUUCUCUCUUCACUUUUUCGUAGAUAUUCCUUAUUACUUUUGUAUUCAUUCCUCAUGCAAAUCCUUGCAAUGUUUUCUUAAUUUCCCCUUUGAUAGUUUUCAAAUCUUCAAUCUUCCAAAGCUAUUUUUAGGCCGUAAUCUCCAAAUGAAUCUUCCUCUUCCAAAUAAGCCGAACAUAGUUACACAGAAGGCUUCAGUUAUUCCAUGGCUCAUCCCACUCAGGAACAAGCGCUUCCUCUCCUCACUUCAAUGAACAACCAUGGGGAUUUGGCUGUGAAGUUGUCGUCCCUGAAGCAAGUGAAGGACAUAUUACUUUCUUCACAGCCUUCUCACGACGCAAAGUUUUUUCUGUACUCGAUUGAGCUCAGACUUCCCCAGACAUGCUCGUGCGUAAAUACCUCCUCAAGUAAGUUUUGUAACUGGAAACAUAAAUAAUCUCCGAUUUUGGUAGUUCUGUGAAAUCUUUAUUUUUCGACUCUAUUUUAUUUGAUCUUGUGAUUUUUUUUAAUUAAUGCAUUAAACACAAUUUUAUUUCUUAAUUUAUUCAAGGAAAGUAAGAAAUUAUUUAAAUUGGGUUAUGUUAUUUUUCAUGAUUUUUUGAGGAAUAAAAAAGUUGUGCAUUGUAUUUGCCCCGUCAAUGUGCUGGAUGCAGUUGUAAGAACAAGUGAGGUGGAUUGAAUUGCAGGUGUGAAUAAGAUAAACUGUACAUAUUGGAGCAUGGUAUGCGUAUUUGUAAGACAAAUUAUCCUGUUGGUUAAGCUGUGAAUAAACAAAGGUUCCAAUUUCAAUUUCGAAGAGAUUAUAGAAUUAUUGAAAGAGAUAAAUAUUUGUUUAUGGAUUGUACAUGGGUAAUGUUGUUACAAGGCUAAGAUAAGGGACGAGGCAGUGGCAUUACUAGCUCAGGCAAAAAGACAGAUACCCAUGUCAGUAGCAGCACCAAAUGCAGUUAAUAAUGCUGUCUUAAGCAAUGGAAAAAGAGGUACUUGACUUCUUUGCAAGUGGAGUAAUUCUAUUUACUGUGUUUGCUGAUUUAUGAAACUCUAUUUUGUUUGCUGCUGCUGGGGAUGAUGAGAUGGGUCAUGAUGGGGAAAAAUUACAUCUUAGAAUAUCAAAUAAUAUCAUUUCUGAGCUUUCAGGCUGUAAUGCUGCUCUUUCACAUCUAAGGAAAAAGCGAAAGGUCAUACUUUUAGUGAUAUAGAGUUUUUGCUCUGUUAAAUGGUUUUACCAUGUCUUAUAGUUUCGAUAUUGAAAAUUCUUUCCUGCAAAUCUCACAAGCUUCAUAUAUUUGUAUAAUUUCAGGUACCCCCAACAUUGGCAUUUAUUGAUGCUGUGGAGAAAUACACUCAACUUAAUGGUUAUCCUCUUCAUCGGACAAAACAAACUUGCCAUAUUAUCUUUUGACAUCCAAUAUUCCAAGUUAUGGGAUUAUAAUGUUUAUUGGUUCAUCAAUCCAUCCUUUUUCAUUCAAUAGAUUGCCUUCCACAUGGCAUGACCCUGCAUAUUACCUCUAUUUUUUUUAGGAUCUCCCCAUUUAUCUAAAACCAAGGUAUUGAUCUGGUAAUGUUGAAUUAUUGAGUUCAAGUAUAGGCUUUGGAGGCAUUGAAUCAGUGUGCUGCUGUAAAGCAAAGCAAUGACAUAGUAGUGUAGUGCUCUGUUUAAAUGGAUUUUUAUAUGGUAUUGUGGGUCGCCUUGUAGAUACUUAUACAACUUUUUGACUAUUUCCUAGCUUCCUGAAAAAGUGUGCGCCAAUACCUAAAUUCAAUUGUUUCAAGACUACUAUAGGAUUUUUUUUAUUUUUUAUUUUUUAUUUUUCGACAAAAUACUUCCAAGGAAAAAGGUGCGGCCUGAAUGCUAAAAUUUGGGCGUGGUACCCGGAUCAAUCAUUAUGCAUUAAUGGAUUGACUCCUACUUGUGUUGUUAUGAUUGUAUGGUUAAUUCUUGUUUUCAUUUGCUCUUAAUUGUUUAUAGUCAAAGGAUAUUAUUUGUGCAGGUCUAACAAGGAGAGGAAGAAACUAUCCUAUUUUAACAGAAAUCUUAGUUCAACUUAUAAACAUGGUAGACCUGAAGCAACUUAAGUUAAUUAAACACUCUGAUAUUGUAAUAUGUGCUGCAAAAUUAUCUAAUAUGAUGUCGGUUGUAGCAUGCAUUCUUAGGCUGGAAUAUCCAGUUUAUCAAAUGGUUUCAACACUUCAUUUGAAUUAUAUACAAAUUGGAUUCACAAGGUGGUGAUGAUAUUCACGUAUAGCAUGGGCAUAAGGGACAAAGUUGCUUUUUUCAAACAUUUCAAGAUAAAAUACUUUAAAAUCAUAAAAAAAAAAUAAAAAAAUACUCAUUUUAAAAGUAACUGUUACCGUACUCUCAAAAUUAACAUACUCAUUUGUAAUUUUGAUGAAUAAAGAAAAAUCUUAUUUUGAAACUUAUUUACUUAUAAGUGAACUUUUUUAGCUUAACCAAAUGUUUUCUUUCUAGAAAAAUGUAUAUAUCCAUAAGCUCAGCACAAGCCCUAUGAAGUCAGGAAGAGCAAAGUAAAAAAAGAAUUGAGGGAAUUGUUGCGGAAGCUCUCUCAAAAGAUCUUCAAACGGUGGUUUUUCAGGCUCAGUCCAACGUACCUUUCUCUACCAACAAUCAAUCCAAACGGCUCCAAACCACAACCAAUUGAUUCACCUUGGUUGCUAUACAAUCUUACUCACGUAGGACAAGAAAGGAUGAUGAUUUAUGGCCACAAAGGCUAGGAGAAGACACCACAAAGGUAUACUAUGAAAGAACUACCAAUUGCACACGUUAUACAAGCAUUUUGGAUACUUCUGGACAUCUUUUUCUCACACAAAAGGGGGCAGCCGGGAUUCACUAGUUUUAUUCUCUCAAAAUCACACAAUCAUCAUAUCAAAGAGGCUAGGGUUAUAUUCAUAUAUAUACUCUAGGGUUAGGCUUUAAGUUGGGCCAUUAAAGGGGUAAACAGACCAAGAUUCAAGCCAUCCAUAAGGAAUACAAUUGGGUCGAGUAUAGCUCAUGGACUUGAUUGUUGGACUUAUUUCAUUCAUCGGUCUAUGCGUAUGAAAUAAUAUUAACCCACGUUAACAUCAUAGCCUGGGAUUUAUUUGGUAUCAAAAACCCAACAAAUCUCCACCUUGAUGCCCAAUAAAUCUGUAAGCAAUCAAAACACACAGUUAACACUUGCAUAAUCAAGGUAGCCAAUAAAAUUGGAUCACAGACCUUACCUCGUGUUUCCAACUUGAAACACAUACCAUACCUGCUCCAUGUACUCACUGGGGCUAAGGUCAAAAACACCCAAGUAGAAGCAAAUAUUUAACAGUAAACAAUCAAGAGCAAAUACACAUGCGAUGACGAUAUACUAUAGGAUAACACACACAGAUCUUUUCAGAAACACGUUCACAUAGAACCAUAGAUUAACACCAAGUCAAUCAAACCAUGGUCAACCACAUAUGCAACACAUGCAUAAAUGACUCUAAGAAAAGAUCUCACCACACUUAUCCUAUCCCAUUCCGUGUUGCUCACACCUCGAAAACACAUAUCUCCUCUCAUCGCCCACGAUGCUCACUAGACAGAUCACUCAACUCAUGUUUAACUGGUGAGUCACAAUAGGUCCUAAGUCCACGGGAUAAUCCUCUAUCUCCACAUCACUUCUCCCAACCUACGUGGAUAAUGGGUCUCCACCUAACAGAAGUGAUAGAAGUGUCUCUCUCACACUCCACCUGAUCAGGGUCUCUUUCCAGAUAAAGGAUCCUAGACAUUUGAUCACAUCUCCACUCGUGAUCCAAAUGUCACACUCUACAUCCCUCGGUACAAACCACCAUGUACCCUUAGGCAUCUAUACUCCACCUCACCAAAAGACACACAACACACUGCUAACACAUCCUAACCUACUAUGCAUGCAAGCAAUUACACCAAGUAAUCCUAAUGUCUCAAAUUCAUGCAAAUGCACAUAUCAAACACAUUGAGAUGUAGCAAAUAAUCACGCAACAAAAUUUAGACAAUCAUACACAUGCAGAAAGGAUCACACACAGAUGCAUAUGCAGUAACUAGGUUUACACUUAAUAAACCUCACUGGGGUCAUAACUCGACCCCUCAACCAAAUUUGUCUCACCUCUCAUCUUUCCCUUCAGCUUAUCUUUCUUCUUGGGACAGUCCCUAAUAAUGUGUUCAUACUUACCACAACUGUAACACCUUUUACCACUAGUCUUGUCUCGUCCCUUGCCCUUCUUCUUACCAAUUGUUACGGAAGCUCUCUCAAAAGAUCUUCAAACGGUAGUUUUUCAGGCUCAGUCCAACGUACAUUUCUCUACCAACAACCAAUCCAAACGGCUCCAAACCACAACCAAUUGAUUCACCUUGAUUGCUAUACAAUCUUACCCACGUAGGACAAGAAAGAAUGAUGAUUUAUGGCCACAAAGGCUAAGAGAAGACACCACAAAGGUAUACUAUGAAAGAACUACCAAUUGCACACGUUAUACAAGCGUUUUGGACACUUCUGGACACCUUUUUUUCACACAAAAGGGGGGCAGCCGGGAUUCACUAGUUUCUUCUCUCAAAAUCACACAAUUAUCAUAUCAAAGAGGCUAGGGUUAUAUUCAUAUAUAUACUCUAGGAUUAGGCUUUAAGUUGGACCAUUAAAGGGGUAAACGGGCUAAGAUUCAAGCCAUCCAUAAGGAAUAAAAUUGGGUUAGGUGUAGCUCAUGGACUUGAUUGUUGGACUUAUUUCAUUCAUCGGCUUAUGCCUAUGAAAUAAUAUUAACCCACGUUAACAUUAUAGCCCGAAAUUUAUUGGGUAUCAAAAACCCAACAGGAAUUAUUAGACAAUCAUUUACAGGUAACAUUCCAACCCCAUAUUUGGUUAGAUGGAAUGUGAACCUUAUGAUUUAUACUUGAUAUGUAAUUUAGCUUUAAAUUGUAUUUUGAAAUGUUUUAAAAAAAUCAAAAUUUCACACUAAUGUUACUUCCUUGCAGAAGGAAAUGCAAUUGUUGAGAACACAAAUCAAAUUAUCAAUGAUAAUACCCUUACAUAAAUUCAAGGAACACGUAGACAUUGAAUACAUAUAUAAUAGGAGCAUCUACUAACUUUAAAGUAAUACUAUUAUUUUGUGUUCAUCUGAACUAUUAUUUAUCUUUGUACCUUUCUGCUGUUUACUAAGCUUUUCGAAUUUUAAUUUCUUAUUAAGAAAAACUGAUAAAUACAAAUCUGAAAUGUAACCAACAAAUAUUUUUGUGAAGGUACAAUGAUGGUAAUCCUAUAUCUGGAGAUGAUCAACCAU
RNAcentral lists this long non-coding RNA (5410 nucleotides) under Olea europaea (common olive). Its description in RNAcentral is "long non-coding RNA (OEUR_LNC006575)". The record is from RNAcentral. Lineage: Eukaryota; Viridiplantae; Streptophyta; Magnoliopsida; Lamiales; Oleaceae.